Molecule: ribosomal RNA, 253 nt
Filed under: uncultured bacterium
Lineage: Bacteria
Description: partial 16S ribosomal RNA
Rfam family: Bacterial small subunit ribosomal RNA
Source: RNAcentral
UACGUAGGGGGCAAGCGUUGUCCGGAAUCAUUGGGCGUAAAGCGCGUGUAGGCGGUUCGGUAAGUCUGCUGUGAAAGUCCAGGGCUCAACCCUGGGAUGCCGGCGGAUACUGUCGGACUAGAGUACGGAAGAGGCGAGUGGAAUUCCCGGUGUAGCGGUGAAAUGCGCAGAUAUCGGGAGGAACACCAAUUGCGAAGGCAGCUCGCUGGGACGUCACUGACGCUGAGACGCGAAAGCGUGGGGAGCAAACAGG